GGGGGUGUACUGGUUUCGACGGGGGAUAUUGGUGGCUUGAGAAGCGAGUCGAGGUCGCACUAGCUCGAUAAACAGUGCAAAAAAAGUAAACGCUAAACCAAAUUACGCUUUAGCUGCUUAAUUGCAGUCUAACCUCUUACCUGUUGUGCCUGCGGUACGGGAUAAGGGGCCACUUUAGCGGGCUACUCUUAAGUGAACGCCUUGUAGCUUAAGGGGAAACUAACAUGGCUGGCCAAAGGAAAUCCUGUUUGUGGGAGUUCUAGAGGUAAGAUCCUAAAACACAAACUACACUCGUAGAUGCUCAAGUGGCUGGUCUUUCGGACAGGGGUUCGAUU
RNAcentral lists this transfer-messenger RNA (335 nucleotides) under Clostridia bacterium. RNAcentral's name for it is "partial transfer-messenger RNA". It matches the Rfam family "transfer-messenger RNA". Rfam says of the family: Bacterial tmRNA, also known as 10Sa RNA or SsrA, is named for its dual tRNA and mRNA-like properties. Lineage: Bacteria; Bacillati; Bacillota; Clostridia. The record is from RNAcentral.